This 253-nucleotide ribosomal RNA is filed under the name uncultured bacterium. RNAcentral describes it as "partial 16S ribosomal RNA". It matches the Rfam family "Bacterial small subunit ribosomal RNA", at positions 524 to 776 of the family's 1533-position model. The record is from RNAcentral.
UACGUAUGGUGCAAGCGUUAUCCGGAUUUACUGGGUGUAAAGGGAGCGCAGGCGGCGCGGCAAGUCUGAUGUGAAAGCCCGGGGCCCAACCCCGGGACUGCACUGGAAACUGCCGUGCUGGAGUGUCGGAGGGGUAAGCGGAAUUCCUGGUGUAGCGGUGAAAUGCGUAGAUAUCAGGAGGAACACCGGUGGCGAAGGCGGCUUACUGGACGAUGACUGACGCUGAGGCUCGAAAGCGUGGGGAGCAAACAGG